This 5863-nucleotide long non-coding RNA is filed under the name Homo sapiens (human). Its description in RNAcentral is "HSALNT0125203". The record is from RNAcentral. Lineage: Eukaryota; Metazoa; Chordata; Mammalia; Primates; Hominidae.
GCGGGGGCUGCGGCCCAGCCCGGCGGGUCCCCAGGGGCUGCGCGGCGCUCGCCUCGCGCUAGAGGGCGAGAGAGGCUGGGGACCCCGUGGAGUAGCCUGUCUCAGGUCCCCGUGGCCCACUGGGAGGGGCGCUCCCGGGAUGAAGCCAGAGUAAAUACAGGACAUCAGGACAUUGUUUUCUGGCGGUGAUGGUGAACAAGAUGGACAUAAGGCCUUCCUCAGUGGCAAGGAUCUCAAGAUCCCUUCUUGAUCUCAGAUUCUGUAAAUGGGAUACCUUUCUCCAUGUACUGAAGCAGCUCAAAGCCCUCGCCAGAUCUCAGCACCAUGCUCUUGGACUUACCAGCCUCCAGAACUGUGAGCCAAAUAAACUUAUUUUCUUUAUAAAUUACCCAUCCUCAGUAAUUCUGUUACAGAAACUAAAAAUAACAGAGGGACAUACUUAUUAAUACUAACUGUAGGACAAGCCCUACCCCAAAGUAAGCCCCCAUGUGAGGGCAGUGACAAUGGUGGUUAUACAGAUGCCAAAAAACCACAGAAAAAGCACUUAUCUAUAGCCAGAAGACCCAGGAAAGAGCCCUCUGACCACCCCUGAAGGGCGUGGCAAAAAGUCAGGUUAUUCCUCUUUCCUCUUGCCACUGUGUGGCAAAUAAAGACUCAGUUAUAGGAAAGGCACAACAGUGUGAGAAGGCUAAAACUCAGAGAGAAACUGCAGCUUUCUAGCCAGAGAACUGGGAUAAGAGAUGCCUGGAAGCUGGGGAAAUCACAGAAGAGGUGAAGUGCUGAAGGAAUCACAGAAGAGGUGAAGAGCUGAAGAAGAAGAUUCUGUAAAUUUGUGUACCUCUGUAUGAACUGACAGAAGUCUUAGGCUCACCCACAAGAUGAACAUGCUCAAGACAGGCCAAAAAGAGCAACAUGAAGGCUUUAGAACUGACCUAGAGUGUAGACUCCACAGAGGUCCCAGACUGGCACCCAGCGGCACACACAUGGGAUAGAUACAAACAGCUGUAAAGUCUUUAAAAACUGAACCACUGCCUACAGAAGGUAGUCAGAACAUGUAGUCUAAACGUCUCUGGGUUGAUUAUCUACUAAAGCAACCAGAACAACAAAACCAACAAUUUCCAGGAGAUUUUUACAUGACCACAAGGCUCAUAACAUAACACUCAAAAUUUUCGUGAUAAAAUCCAAAGUUACUUGGCAUAUAAAGAACCAAGUAAAUCUAAAUGGAUCAUAAGAAAAAAGCAAUCAUGAAAUGCCAAUUCCAAGAUGCCAGAGGUUGGAAUGAUCGGACAAAUAUUUUAAUUCAGUUAUUAUAAUCAUCUUCAAGUAUAGUCAUCUUUUGCUAAUGUGAUUGUUGUAAUAAACUGUCUUUCAUCUUUGACCUGGAGGCUUCAUGUUUUUCUGCCAGUAUCUAUGAAACUGUGACAGACAAACUUGUUAGUUGACAAGUACAGUAAAAUCUUCACAAUUCCUGACAUGAGAGUUUAACAAACAUCAAAAAUGAAAGAAAGAAUAUAUCACAAUUCCUGACAUGAGAGUUUAACAAACAUCAAGAAUGAAAGCAAGAAUAUCACCACAGGUCCUAAAGAUAUUUUAAAAAAUAACAAAAGAAUACUACAAAAAAAUGAUAUGUCCAUUAAUUCAACAACAUACACGAAAUAGACUAAUUCUUCUGUCUUUCACACAAAAAGGAUUCAGUACUAUAUAAAAAGGACAGUACACCUAGCCAAAUGUGGUUUGAGAAAUGUAAGACUGCUAUAAAAUUUGAAAAUCAAUCAGUGUAACUCACCAUAUUAACAGAACAAAGAAGAAAAUAUACAGAUCUUUUCAGUAGAUGAAGAAAAAGUAUUUUACAAAAUUUUAUGAAAGAUUUUCAUCCAUCUAGAAUAGUAAAAGUUUGUCUUAAAGCAAAUGAAAAGAUUAAAGAAUACAAGAUCUCUUGUUAACCAAUAAUUAUGCAAAUUUAUUUGAUUAUAUAAACACUUUCACAGAACCAAGAACCAUGAGAUGACUAUUUUAGAUAAGAAAGCCUCUGGGCCAAAAGUAGGAACCCUUAGAAACCAUCAAAACCUUGAAAUCUGCUCUGAAUACACUCACAUUCCAUGGACACUGACAGCACAGGACAAUGAUCAGGAACACAGACUCUGAUGCCCAGCUGACUGGGGUCCAUCCUGGCUCCAAUAUCCGUCCAUCUGCCAACUUUAUAAUCUUGGGGACACUCAAGUAACUUUUUGUUACGCACAUAGGUCUGCAACAAUCACUGUGGUCAGAAGGAUGUGAUAAACGGAUUGGCUCAAACCAGCACGGACCACAUAUUCUACAACAGAUGUGUGACGGACUCAGCUCUGCACUUACGCACCUCCAAGCCUUGAUUAUCAGAUCAUGUCCUUCUUCCCUAAUGUUUAAUUUCUCUUUGGGGGACUUUGAGGACAUUCUGUCAUUUGUCCUCCAUCAGAACUAACACAAUCCAUUAAAGAGGUGCAGUAAUAUUGGACCUCAAAAGAAAAGCACUUGCUAUUUCAAUUUCUACUCUCCCAGGAUGUGUCUCUUCUAUAUAAAUUACUCACCUCAGUGAUCAGCUCUGCAAUACCAAGGGGUCAUGGGAGAGAUUGUUCAUGUAACGCCACAUUUCCUCCAAAGAAAUUGGUAGCUAUUGGCUUUUCUUUGUGUAACCUUUACUCCGAACAUAAGUUAAUGACCUACCUCUUAAAAGAAAUUAGGCGUGUUCACUUUUAACCUUUGUAUAAAUAGAAAAAAAAUAGGGAAAGAGAAAAGUGGAUAAGUCAUUACUGUACAACUAAUUUUCACAAAGUGAACACACUUUGUAAUCAGCACUGAAAUAAAGAUAUAGAACAUGAUCACUGGCCUAAUAGUCUCCCCCUCAUAUACCCUCCAAGUUACUGAAACCUACCCACCAAGACUAAUCAAUAUCCUGUCUUCUAAUACUGUAGACUGGUUUUGCCUAGACUGACUUUAUAUAAAUGGAAUUAUACAUAGUAUCUGUUAAUCUCUUCCCAGUUUCCAUAGCUCAACAUUAUAUUAUUUUAUACAGUUAUAGUUUCUUUUAUUCUUGUGUGAGAAAGAAAAAUAACUGAUGAAUAUAUGAGUUCACUUAGAGAAAUACACAGGAGGGCCUUCAAGUAAUAUAAACUUCUUCCAAAGAAGUAGCACUAAGCCUCAUUCUAGAGCUCCACAGGCUGCUAGGUAGUAAGAUGAUAAUGAGUGCAGGCCACUCUGUUCAAAGCAGUGAUAAUAGUUAACAUUUAUUAAGUGCAGCCAGAAACUGUAGUAAGUGCUGUACAUGGAUUAUUUUAUUUAAUCCUUACAACUCUAUGAUGUUUGAUGUUUUAUAGACUGAAGAAAUUGGAGCUUUAGAGAGGGUAUCAGAUUUGUCUAAGGUCAUGGGGCAUGAUACAGCUUGGAUAUGAAUCCAGAAGGUGUCUCUGGAGUCCAAGCUCUUUGCCAUACAGCCAUGCUCUUCUGUGAGAUACUAAGUGACAUAACACUUUCCAACCAUUCAAUCCAAAGUACAAAUUUAUCUCCACUACACUACAGAUGCUACUUCACAUCAGUAAUAAAAAUAAAAGGAAAAUUGUCCUAGAUGAAUUUCCACUGGUGUUAAAAUAAUGCCUGUAAUUUCAAAGAUGAUAUUUGAUUAAAUCAAUCAACUUAUUAAAUAACUUAUAGCCUUCGUUUUUUAUCCUAUAGUGGACAUUUCCUCUUUCUUCCUCCUCUUAGUAUACCACAAUUCUCACUUCAAUAUCCUCCUCCACCCAUUCAGUCCAUGAGUAUUGGUAUAUACUGAUGGGUUUAAGCCAAACCACCCACCCCAUCACCUGGUCACAGGAAUUAAUACAGAGAGGGCACAUAAUCCAAUUCAGGCCAAUAAAACAAGAGAUGUUUGCUGGAGGCUUUUGGGAAGAAAGCUUCACUAUUCUCCUACUGAAGCCUCAUUGAAGAGAUAAUCUUGAUCCUUCUGAUCAGUAGGACAUUUGAAUGUGAGGCCUAGAAUUGCAGCUGUUUUGCUAGCAUAAGAGAAGUCAGCCUGAAGAUGAAGCCAAGAUAUGGAGGAAGGAAGAGCCAAGAUAAUCACUCAUGAAUGAGGAGCCCUGAUAAAACCAUUCCUGAAAUCCCCCUCCCAAUGUUUCAAUUUAAAUAUUACAUAAAGUUUCAAAACUAUAAUACCAGGGCUAUAUAUGAUGAAUUUACUCAGUUGCCACUUCCAGUAAUAUCUCUCAACCAUCAGCCACUUAACUGCCCUGCUGGUAAAGUGAUACUGUCUAUUUCUUCUGUAAAACAGACUUACUAAGGCCCUUGUCACACUGAACACCCAUGUCUAAUACUCCUCUGCUUUACACCCACACACUUGUGUGCCCAUCAGUUAAAGUGUGUUGUCACCAAGUCAGUUGGGUUUGCUCAAACCUGUUUACUCUAUUUGAGCAUAUUAUUAUAAAUAUGUAAUUCAAAUAAAGAUCUCAAAAAUCAAUGAAAUAUAAUUUUUAAAGUUGUUUUAAUAAAAACUAACUUAAAUGUUUUAGAGAGGAUAAGUAAUAGAAUCAUACUAUCUCUUAAUCAUUUUAGUGAUUACUGUCAUUGAAUUAAGUGUUAGCCAGGCACUCCUAAAGAUAAGUGAAAAAAAAUUACCAUAAUAUAGGAGCUUUCUCCCAGUUUAAUACACAAGUAUUUUAAACUUUCCAUUCCGUUUUAAAGAAGCAUAGGUGAUAACUAUUGUGUAUAUACAUUAUAUACAUAUAUAUGUAAAUAUAUAUAUAGUAAUAUAUAAUGUAAAAUAUAUACACAUAUGUAUUUUUGAGUUGGGGGUCUCGCCAGUCACCCAGACUGCAGUAUAGUGGUGUGAUCAUGGCUUGCUGAAAUAUCAAACUCUUGGGAUCAAUAAGUUUGAUCCUCCUACCUCAGCCUCCUGAGUAGCUGGGACUACAGGUUUUAAAAAAUUUUUUUAGACAUGGGGUUUUGCUAUGUUGCCCAGGCUGCUCUUGAACUCCUGGCCUCAAGCAACCCUCCUGCCUUUGCCUUAACUAUACCUUUUUAAGUUUGAAUUACAUAUAUAACAUAUUAAAUUUAAGGAUAUUCUGUAAAUAAAAAGAAAAAAUAUUAAGAAAAGAUUCUAGGUUGUUAGUCACAUUGCUGAUUAGCCAAGCAGCAUCAGUCCUAGUUGUGUCAGGUAAGUACAUUUCCACCAUUGUUCAAAAACAAGUAAGGUUGUCCAUAUACCUCUUUCCGUCCCCAGCAAGUAUCUUAGGCCCAAAGUGAGAUGCAGCAACAAAGUGUGGAUUAUUACAAUUAAAUCCAAGCUUAUAUUGAAAACAAUGAUGACUUAUGGAGUCAUGCUGUCUUUUAUUAUAUGUCUAAGAACUGGAAUGAUAUCUCUUUCAUAAUAGGUGAUAAAAAUUUCUUUUCAAAUAAAUAUUUUGUUUAGAAGUAUGCUAUUUUUAUUAAAGACUGCCAUUUAAGCAGCUGGACAUCAGUAAAUCAUUGAACUUUUAAAUCAUUCUUCAUAUUGUACCCUAAGGGGUCUGAGAUUUUUUCCUUACCACUUUUUCAAAAAACUAAAGUAGGACAAAAAGCCAACAAAAAUGUCUCCUACACAUUUACUUUUAAUUAUAUUCAGCCUCAUUUUUAGUCAUUUGUUUUACCUGGAAAUAAUCUUUCUAGUGUACUAAUUGUUCCAAUAUACUAAAGGUUCUAAUCUCAAUGUAAUUGUCUCACUUAAUAUUGAACUAUUAAAUAGCCACACAUUGGUUUGUCUGUAUUUCCAAAAAGGUUUCAUUUAAUUAAUUUUUACCCUGAAAGGUAAGGGUACAUAUAGAUAGUAACAUUUACUACCAUGUACAAAUUGCUAAAACAG